RNAcentral lists this long non-coding RNA (206 nucleotides) under Musa acuminata (dwarf banana). RNAcentral's name for it is "long non-coding RNA (MACU_LNC010078)". Lineage: Eukaryota; Viridiplantae; Streptophyta; Magnoliopsida; Zingiberales; Musaceae. The record is from RNAcentral.
AUUUUUGCUUUCUUUGCAAAGUGCAAGCUAGCAAAAUGCCAAACUAGCAAGAGAUAAUGUUUUACAUGAGGCAAGCAAACAAUUUGGCAAGUGUUACAUUUGCAUCUUCUCUUUUGAGAAGUGCAAUUUUUGCUUUCAUCUUGAAUUGUGCAAGCUAGCUAGUUUGCCUCUUUUCAUGAUGUCCACGCUAGAAAUUCUUGCUCCCC